GAUGAACGCUGGCGGCGCGCCUAACACAUGCAAGUCGAACGAUUAAAGCACCUUCGGGUGUGUAUAAAGUGGCGAACGGCUGAGUAACACGUGGGCAACCUGCCCCUUUCAUUGGGAUAGCCACGGGAAACCGUGGAUAAUACCGAAUACUUCGAGACUUCCGCAUGGAAGACUCGAGAAAGCUCCGGCGGAGAGGGAUGGGCCCGCGGCCUGUUAGCUUGUUGGUGGGGUAACGGCCUACCAAGGCAAUGAUGGGUAGCUGGGUUGAGAGACCGACCAGCCAGAUUGGGACUGAGACACGGCCCAGACUCCUACGGGAGGCAGCAGUGGGGAAUCUUGCACAAUGGGCGAAAGCCCGAUGCAGCGACGCCGCGUGCGGGAUGAAGGCCUUCGGGUUGUAAACCGCUUUCAGCAGGGACGAGGCGAAAGUGACGGUACCUGCAGAAGAAGCCCCGGCUAACUACGUG
RNAcentral lists this ribosomal RNA (467 nucleotides) under uncultured bacterium. Its description in RNAcentral is "partial 16S ribosomal RNA". It matches the Rfam family "Bacterial small subunit ribosomal RNA", at positions 28 to 507 of the family's 1533-position model. The record is from RNAcentral.